UACCAAACUGCAAGAUAUUUAAUCCAAGACUUAAAGAGUGGGAAAAGAAAGCAAAAGAAUUUUUCCCUGAACCCCCCAUGAGCCUAUUUGCCUACUUGUGAAGGUCAGGUUAAAAAUACCAGCCUUUUCAGGCAGGGUGUACUCAGGGGAAAGCCUUUCACUCAGUAUGCUCUCAGAGAAAGGUCCUUGCAUUUAACGUUUUUCUUCGCUGCGGUUGUCUCUAGUCCCUCCAUUUUCUCUGUCCAGACCUCUACAGUUGCCCUUUAGGCACAAUUUUGCAUGAGAUUUAUUUUCCAGCUGCUGGCCCCUGACAGACCUCCUGCUCCAUGGCAGAAGUUAAACAGUCUGCCUCGGCAAAUCUUAUUCCACAUAGGACUGAAAGCACUAAUCCCCACAGCCGUGGAAAAGACACCAAGGAGGUCAGCUGCAUGUGCACAGAGUCAGCAAGAACAGGUGCAUUCGUUGACAGUGGUAUGUAAAUGCUGCUGAUGGACACCACAGUCCACAUCCUCAAAGGUAUAACAUCUCCAGUUCCUGGGAUUUAGGUGAUCAGAUCCCUUAUGUCCUCUGGGCAUUUCAGCCAAAUGUUACUGAGCAGAAACGAACCUCUGUGCCGUACAUUUUUGUUAUGUCUGCCAUGUUAAAUGACAGUGUUAAAAUGCAUACCAAGAAAUGUUCAUAAAGGGAAGGAGAAUUUCUUAAGUGCAAAUAAUGGUACACAGACAUCAUGCCUAGAGAUAAUCAUGCUUCUGUAAGUCUGCGUGCACUUUCUGUUACGGCUGCAGGGCCCCAGGGCCUUGGGCCCCAGCCUGAGGUGACGCUCAUGGAAGAGGGCAUGAGGAGCUGCUGGGCACAAGGGGACAAACUGCUGGACUCAACCACACCAGAGCGAGGAGAAAGCAGCUGGAAAGAAAAGGAAUCAGAAGGAGAAAUAAAGUGAGGAGAAAACAAGGAUCACAGCAAGAUACAGGUAGGAGGGGCUUUAGAUGGCCAGCUAAUCCAUCCAGCUGUCCUGAGGUCAGUCAAAUAGGCCAUCUGCUACCUUUUAUUAGAUACUGAGCUCCCAGGAACUCCUGUGCUGCUAUUUAUCUCAGGUUUGCUCUGCUUAGCUUGUGUAUUUCCAGACUGAAUUUCAUCUUAAUUCUUAUUUGUAUUCCUAACCUUCCUAAAUCCUGAAGGAAUACUUAUUACAUAGUUCUCAUAUAUUUAUGAUUAUGGCUGUAUCACCUCUCAGUUCAGACUCCUUGAUUAAUGUAUUUCCUACCUAUCCUGCUAGGUAAUCAAGGAUGUUAAAUUAAACUAGACAGAACACCCACUGCUUCUGGAGUAAUCUGUGCACCUGGGCUUGAUCCCUUACAGUUUAGUGUUCCCUUUUGUUU
RNAcentral lists this long non-coding RNA (1379 nucleotides) under Anser brachyrhynchus (Pink-footed goose). RNAcentral's name for it is "lncRNA (ENSABRG00000016554.1)". Lineage: Eukaryota; Metazoa; Chordata; Aves; Anseriformes; Anatidae. The record is from RNAcentral.